Mauremys reevesii (Reeves's turtle) is the source of this 2701-nucleotide long non-coding RNA. RefSeq lists it as uncharacterized. The transcript is spliced from 6 exons. The record is from RefSeq and is a predicted model, not a curated record. NCBI's taxonomy places the organism in Eukaryota, Metazoa, Chordata, Testudines, Geoemydidae.
UCCAAAUGAGGUGUGUGGUUGACUGGUCAGUUUGUAACUCUGGUGUUUGUAACUCUGAGGUUCUACGGUACUGAGGUAACCUCUUUUGGCUAUCCAAGGACCAGAUUCUGAUACCUUUACUCACAUAGAGUAGCACUUUACUCCACAUGUGGUCCCACUGAAGUGAAUGGGACUAUUCCUGGAAUUAGGUGCUGCUCACGGUGAAUAAGAGUACCGUAUCUGGAUUUAAGUCAAAUGGCAAGUUUUUACCAGUGAUUUCUGUCCAUCAUUAGUUUGAAUCUGAAGCCAGUUGGUUGUGAUAAAAAAAAGUCAUGAUCUACAUGGACAAUGAAUGAAAUGAGGUGGUCAUCUCAGGCCAGUUCUUAAUGAGAGUCCACAUCACAAAAAACAAUACUCCAACUGGCAAUCACAACAGAGCUCCAGGCGUGAAUGAGCACUGAGAAUGAACUACCCUCUUACUGCUAAAGAGGAUUGCCAUUAGAUCUAGGUUGGGACACAUUGUUGAGUUGCUGUUGAGGUAAAUUGCAAUGCUACUUGCCUGCAUUGUUCUGUGGAUCAGUGAUUUAGGCAAUCCUAUCAAUGUAUCUCCUUUACCAAGAUGACACAUUUUGUGCAUUUACCUUUUAGAGUCUAGAAGUUGUUAUUUUUAAUAUCCGGGUGAAAAAAUGUGUGUUUUGUCUAUAUACUCUUUAUAUAUUAUCAUGACAAGUAAAAACUUGCCAUUUGACUCUAGAUCCAAAUACCCUUAUUCAUAGUGAGCAGCACCUCACUCCACGUAUCAGAAUCUGGUGAAAGCAGAAGCUGGUGAAACCUUGUUAUGGGUUGAGUUAAAGCCCCAUUGAGAUUAGUAAGUUUGAACUCAACCUUUAGUUAACAUAACGAUAAGUAUAAGCCCCUCACCUCUGACAAAAGGCAUGUGUUUACCAGCUUGCAGCCUAGUGUUGUUUGGGCUAGUGUGUGUGUGUGUGUGUGUGUUUGUGUGUGUGUGUGUGUAUGUGUGUGAGAGAGAGAGAAGAGAGAUCACAUAGAAAUGAAGAUUAGCCAAGAACAGACUGAGGAUAUGUCUACACUACCCGCUGGAUCGGCAUAUCGAUAUAUCGAUCCCCGAACUUGCUCCCAUCGACUCCGGAACUCCACCAGGGUGAGCGGCGGUAGCAGAGUCGACGGGGGGAGCCGUGGCCAUCGAUCCCGCGCUGUGAGGACGGGAGUUCUGUUGAGAAGAUGCUCAUCAAGGAGAGCAGAAGCAGCAGUGCAACAAACCAGUGGGAUUAUGUUGAAAGUCAAGGAGUGGAUUGUGAGGACAGAGUGUGUUGUCUGACCACUUCCCCAUCGCAAUUAAGGAUUGAAACCACUUGCUUACGCACAGCUGAGACCAUCAUACCUAACCCCAGAGGAGGCCAGAAACUCCCAGCACACUGCUUUUCCCAGGCCGGGCAAGGGGCCCAGAGCACUGAAGGACAACAUGCUGUAUGUUAGAGGACUGUCAGAUGGUGACAAUCCAAAUGAGUGGAAACCUUUACAACAGUGAUGGUUCUUCUCGGUGUUGAAAGACUGACCCUCAUGGACAUAAAAAAAGACUAUCUAGCUUCAUCUGUCUCACCAUCUUCUGUGGCUCAAGCCCUUGCGGUAGGGCACUUCCCCAGACUACUGGAAACAGCCAGAUGCAGUGGUGGUAUAUUGAGACCUUUGUCUCAUUCAGUACAAGAUGGAUAGUGCUCAGAGACUGCAUCACAGCUGCGGAGUGAAUGAGGCUAUGGUAUCAAAUUGUGUGUAUCUCCUCAGCCUCAUGUGCUGCAGAAGUUGGAAGUGAGACAACCUGGUCCCCAGGUGCCCCGGAGGGCGAAGAGCCCAGCCGGAGGCCGGACUGGGCGGAGCUACGGGGCUCUGGGCCCGCCCCGCAAAGGGUCAAGCCCCGACCCGGAAGUACAAAGGCAGGCCCUCCGCGCUCAGUAAGGGGCCAGCCCUCAAAGAGGCCGGACGUCCGCGACUGAGCUCCCGCCGGGGAGGCUGCAGAAGGCGGCGGCCGACCCAGCCUCCCCCUCGCUCGCUACCCGGAGGAGGACUGGCCGAGCUUGCCCCGCUCCCGCUACCCGGAGGAGGACUGGCCGAGCCUGCCCCGUUCCUGCUACCCGGAGGAGGAAUCGAGCCUGACCGUGGCCGCUGACCCCGAGGGCCCGCUGAGCCCACCCGUGCAUCCACACCCGGAGGAGCCAAUGGUGGUUGACCCCGCUGACGAAGCCAUGACGACUCAGGUACCCGAAGAGGGAGGAAGUGAAAGUAGCCCAGGGCAGCCGACUCCAGUCUGGCUGCAACGUGGCCAGAACCGAUGUCAGUGUGUUGUGGCUUGGAUCCCCACUGACAGCAGCGAGUCUUUGCCACUGCUAGGGCCCCGGGCUGGGGUGCAGUGGAGUGGGAGGGCCUGCGUCCCCCGUGUCACCCACUCCUUGGGUGGCAGAGUCCCCCCUCCCCUUGGUCUGAGGAGGCUUUAUAGACUUUACCUGAACUGCUGCUCAGCCCUGCCUGAGGGUCUGAGCCCUGUACCUGUGUUUGCUGCCCCACCCUGAACCAGGGCUUGGGCUUUAUAGAUUUCCCCGACUGUACUACCCGUGUCUAGUGAGGCGACCUGGUCCCCAGGCGGCCGGUGGGCAAAGAGCAGCCCCUCAACCGACAGGGGACCCUUUACACUCUGAUGUUUAAAAAA